This 2638-nucleotide long non-coding RNA is filed under the name Apteryx rowi (Okarito brown kiwi). RNAcentral's name for it is "lncRNA (ENSARWG00000012351.1)". Lineage: Eukaryota; Metazoa; Chordata; Aves; Apterygiformes; Apterygidae. The record is from RNAcentral.
GGGGAGGGGGCGGGGGGAGGGCCGGGAGGCGGGGAGGGCCGAACGGAAAGGGAGAGGAGAGAAAAACAAACAAACAAAAAACCACCAAAAAAGCAAACAACAACACCAAAAAAACCCCACCCCAAACCGCCUCAAGCCCCGGCAAAGCAGCGAGCGGAGGGGAGAGGUCAAGGGGCAGAGGCGAGAAGGAGCCGCCGCACCGGGAGCCGAGCGGCGCCGGUCCCCGCCGGGCAGGUUCAGUCCGGUCAGCCCAGCUAGCUGCCUUUGCCUGUCCCUCAUGCAGUGUGCUAAAGGGGAAGAAGGCAAGGUCUCGAGAAACGUCAGAAAGUCAUGCGCUAGCUCGGCCUUGUAUUUCCGAGUCUGCAAGCUGUGAUAGGAGGUGGAUGAGCAGGGAAUUAAAGACGACUGUCCUCAAGUGAAUCUUUUGAUUUGUGUCCUCGGGUUAAGACACAGUCCUUGUUUCAGAACGGCCAGUUUCCUUUCUGCACAACUGGAAUCCCUUGGGAAGAGCAGUAAAAUUCCAAGGCUCCUGCCAGUGGAACAGUGAGUUUCAGCUGAAGGGAGAGAGCAGCGGUGAAUGAGGAGAGGAGGAGGGUUGCAUUUCUUUAGUAAAAACUGAAUUAAUCUUGUAUGAACCAUUGUGAUAAAGAUGCCAUGGGAAUAAUAGUUGGUUUGUUCUCAAAAGACAAUCUCUAAGUCAGACUUUCAGACUUGUUAUCUAACCAAGUAGUUUUGGGAUUUGUUUCGCUGGUGGGAAGAAAGAGCUCAGUGAUUUGCUGAUCCUGGGUUUCUAAUUGGUGAUUAUUAUAAAGCAAAAUAAUUAGUUUUGCAUGAUGCUAGAGAUGACAGAAAGCUCCCUUUAGCUGUUCCUGAGAGUCCUAGCAGUUUGGUUAUUCAGGCUUGCCAAAUGUUGCUUCUGUAAUCUAGAACCUGUUGAAAAGCAAUCUCAUGCAAGUGAAUCGCCUUACGGAUGCCUGCAUUCAGCAGCGCCUUGUCAGCACGCUCUUCAAGCUUGAAAGACUUAUUUUUUUAUAAUGAAAACUGGUCAGAUUAAAGUGCUUCUUUGAGCAAACCUUGCAACGUAUGUGUUGAAGUUUACUUCUUAAUUUUUGCUUUCACGGACUUCGUGGCCAGAGUUGUGUCCACUGUCUCUCUUAUUCCUGUCACUGUUUAGCACCUUCUCUCUGAGAGAAUACCUGUUAAUUACGACUGACAGCCAAAACUUACAGCAUUCGAGAGCCUAGGGUGGAAAUACUGCUGAAGCUCGAAUGUUUGUGAGUUGUAGCAAGGGUCUGUGCGGAACAGAAAGUAGGUUACCUGAGACAGCUAAAGGUGGUCUUCUGUUUCUUCUGCCUGGGGUUUUAGAAAAUCAUCUUAAUCUCUUUUCUGAAUAUCUGUUAGCCCAGUGACUAAGGUACCCAUCUGGGAGACGGAAGACAGAAACAAGUCCUUAUUCUGAAAUGGGCAGACUACUGUUUUUUAUGUUUCCACAAAAUGAUUUAUUCUUGAGAAAAAGAUAGUGCUUGACCCAUAAAACUAAUUUGAUCCAAUUCUGAUUACAGCUAGUCAGGAAACUUCUAACAGGGRUAGCUGGAUUUUGGUGUAGGGAUGUACGUUUAAUGUGACUGAUGCUAAACUGGGCUGGCUUACUCAGAAUACUUCCAAGUCUUUUUUGGGAAACUUUCUUCUAGGAGGAAAACCGUGCAGUUUAAGCUAUGGUCUUGGUAAACUAAAAGAUAACCAAAGCUAGUUGCUGAAUUAAAUGCAAAGGACUGCAGGAGCAAUGAUGAAAAUGAUGGUGAUGCAAAAGGUGCUUGAAACCUAUAUACUGGCAAUGCAAACUUCAGCAGAAGACUGCUUCAGAAGGAAGAUACCCAGAAAUGCUCUUCUGUCCCUCCUCUAUUAAAAUCACAGCCAGAACCAGUUUCUGAACGGUGAAGAAUUUCAUGAAUCCAGACAAUGUAAGCCGUCAUCACGUCCUAGUUCCGGCUGCUUCACAUAUUUUUAUCCUUUGCCAGACAAGUAUUUUUCUGAAUUAAUCCCUUUAUAACCCGUCACCCUUCUGUUUUACUUUAGUAGUUGUACAUCCUUGAACUUCUGUCUCUGAAGCAGAAGUAGUGCUUAACUGGUGAAGAUCUGUGAAUUUUCUGCUUAUAACAGAUAUCUUGCUCGUCCAGAAAAAUGACUGUGAUGGUCCUGUUUAAAAAAAAAAUUGUUAAUCUUCUGCCCAAGCUUGUAGCUGCAGAAAAUAUCGGAGGCACCUUCUAUAUGUGCGUGGGAAGAGGCUGUACUUCUGUGUGAUGAAGUGGUGCAGUAUGUGGGAAAAUCCAGAAGUCUGCCAAAAGUAGUCACAUAGAUGUGAUUUACCUGGGAAUGGUUUCAGAAACUCGCUGUGUGUGUAGCACCCAAAACCGAACUAGUGACCUAAGCAGAAGCAAUCAUGUAGCGGGCUGCUAAAUAUAGUCCGCAGAAGGAAAAGUGGUUUAUUUGCUUGUUAUGUACAGUUCUUUUUUUAAAUGUUAUUGUCUUUUCUUCUUUAACUUUCCAUACCUUUGAAAAAAUGAAUGAAGUGAGGAUGUUAAGCAUUUACUGUGGCACAGUUUCUUAAUAAAGUCGUUGCAGUAGGAAGUGGUAUUCA